CCUACGGGCGGCAGCAGUGAGGAAUAUUGGUCAAUGGACGGAAGUCUGAACCAGCCAUGCCGCGUGCAGGAAGACGGCUCUAUGAGUUGUAAACUGCGUUUGUACAAGGGGAAACCUGAAUACGUGUAUGCAGCUGAAAGGACGGUACGAAUAAGGAUCGGCUAACUCCGUGCCAGCAGCCGCGGUAAUACGGAGGAUACAAGCGUUAUCCGGAUUUAGUGGGGUGAAAGGGUGCGUAGGCGGAUUGAUAAGUUAGAGGUGAAAUGUCCGAGCUUAACUCGGGAACUGCCUCUAAUACUGUUGAUCUAGAGUGUAGGUGCGGUAGGCGGAAUGUAUGGUGUAGCGGUGAACUGCUUAGAGAUCAUAC
Molecule: ribosomal RNA, 367 nt
Filed under: uncultured bacterium
Lineage: Bacteria
Description: partial 16S ribosomal RNA
Rfam family: Bacterial small subunit ribosomal RNA
Source: RNAcentral